Molecule: long non-coding RNA, 5263 nt
Filed under: Equus asinus (donkey)
Lineage: Eukaryota; Metazoa; Chordata; Mammalia; Perissodactyla; Equidae
Description: lncRNA (ENSEASG00005038412.1)
Source: RNAcentral
GAAGAAGGUACGGAAAAGGAGGGAGAGAAAGAAAAUUCAAUGCACCAGGGGAACUGACCAUCAGCUGGAAAUUCUCAGCCUGAGAGUUUGUAGCCCCCUGGAGCUGGGAAGGUCAGCUGAGCCCUCCCCACAACCCCAGCACAUCAGAGGGGCUUCCCUGCGGAAAUACUCCUGUUUGAUCUGCAGAUCUGUGUAACGGAGGAGGAGAGAGGGAGGAAAAAAGCGAGAGCGGCUCUAUUCUGAUAUAUACGUACUUUUCCAGGCAUGCCCCCUGCCCUGUUGGGCAUAAUUGCCUGUUUAAUUACCUGUAUUCCCGGUGGCCUGCAAAUUCUGGGAGGACAGGGGCAAUGUUGAUCCUUACAUCCCCACACAUAGAACAGCUACCAGGAAGAGCAAGUCUCUGAUAAAUGUUUGCUGAAGGCCUGAGGAGAAGAGAGAGAGCAGCUGGGGAGAGAGAGUCUUACGUACAUACACCCCUCCUCAUCUCCAAGGGCCAGCUUCUCUCCGUCGAGCAAAUCCCUGGACAUUUUCUCUUGGCCUCAGAGGUCUUUUUAGAGUUCUUGGCCUUUCUUCUUAUGGGGGCCACAUGGAGGACAAGUUGGCAUAGUGUCUGCCACCUGGGGUUGGGGGGCUGGCCGUGCCUCUUCACCCACAUGGAUGUCUCCCACUUGCCCUCCCCUGGGGGCGCUGCAGAGUGAAGAUUGUUCUGUACCAGGCGGAGUCCUGGGUCUUUCACAACCAAUGUCUAUGGAACACGCCACCCCAAACCUGUAGACGACACAUUCUUUUCAAGUUCACAUGCAACGUUCCCCAAGACAGGCCAUAUGCUGAACCACGAGAUCACUCUCAAUACAUUUCAAAGGAGCGAAAUCACACAGAACAUGUUCUCUGAGGACGAUGGAAAUAAAUUAGAAGAGUAGAUACAUUCAAAAUCCCCAAAUAUCUGAAGAAACUCUCUCAGUGCUUGACACAGUGUAGAUCCUCAACAAUUUCUGCCUCGACAUCCUUCUCUACCACAGUAACGAUCCCUCUGCUGCUGCUGAAAGUAAAGGCCGACCACCGGCCAAGGUUACGGCCACAGUCCCAGGCCUGGCACUUACUGCCCUGUCUGCACAGUGAGCUGGGACAAUGAGUCCACCUCGGAGCCCACCCUGAGUCCCUCAGCAUUCACCAGAUCCACACUGAGGCAGGAAGAUCUCCGCUAUGCUGCCAGAAUGGGGUCCCAGCCCACUCUCCACUCCAAGGAGCCCAGCCUUCUCGAGAUGUGGGGAGAGAGCUCAACGGGGUGAUGGCUCUUGAUCUUUUUACUUAGAAUGUUCUCUGGCAGAUAAAAUCAAAUUCAUUUUGUUUAGGGAGUUUAGCCGAAAUCCCUUGAGGAACAAAUGAAGGCAGCACACAGAAAUGCCUCCUUUCCUCUGCCUGCCAUUUUAGAGGGUCCCCAAGAGGCCAGGAAUACAGUCAACCAGAGAGAAACCCAACCAGCCAAGUCAUACGAGGGAGACGGAGACUGCCAUUGUGACAACCUUUGGACUAAAGAAUGAAGUGGGAACUGAAUUUCACUGAAGGCUGUGCUUGAGCUUUUCAAGGCCAAUAGUCUGAUCCAUGUGUUUGGUUCACAAUAUAAAUGGACAAUUGUGGUGCUGAUAAGUCACCACCCGGAAGAGCCCAAGGGUGGAAGUACCUGUUAUUGGCACAUGCUGUGUAUAAACCUUCUACUGAGACUAAGCUGGUUGCAGCAUCAUUUUCCUACAAAUGAGGGUAAAGAUCUCCUAGAUAAGAAUGAGUUGGAAAUUAAGACCCAAAUUAAAGCACAUCUAAAGAGGUUGGUACGUGACAAAACCUCCUCAGAAUGCAGUCCAUGGAAGGUUUCCGCCGGGAUCCUGUCAAGAGAGGCGAGUUUUAAAAGGUCUAUGAAUCCUCUAGCUAGGGGGGAAAAGACAAGAGGCAGCAAAGACAGACAGCUAACAAGAAUAGCAUCACCUCCACCUCCACCACCAUUUCUUGGGAGGAGACAUCAUGGAAGCCACUGUUUUCAGUACUUCGGUAAGUUAUAAACUCAUUUGGAUAACGCACCGCAAGUCAUGAAGCUACAGGCCACCAGGGCGUGUACAGGCAACCAAAGCGAUUCCCAGCUGAAGUUCUGAAAUCUCUGGUUCAGUCAAAACGCAGUAGAGGCACCCUAGCGGCCCGAGCACACAAAGAUAAACGGUAAACAGAAAUUCAGAGACCAAAUUCAGAGAGUCGAGGUGAAGAAUCUACUUACGUUCUCACUCACCCACCUAGCAAGUCUUUCUUUUAUUAACUGCUUACGAGAGGCCAGGCGCUGGGGAUGCACAUAUGAAUAAAAUGAGACCUCUGACCUUUAAGAACUCCCAGUCUAGUCUCUUCAGAACCCUCUAUUUCCACACUGUGACACUUCUGCUAGUGGAAGGGCACGUUAACCGUCUAAGAGGCUGCAGCAACGGGCAUAACCUGGAAUUCUUUCAUCAACCCUGGUUGUGUGGCCACCAUAAGUCCCCUCAAUACGGUGCAGCUCCCGGAGAGCAGGAACCAUCCACACAAACCACAGGAUGAAAAUUCGCCCUCCCCCACCAUACUAGUUCACCUAAGCUGACUUUUGGGGUCAACGGAAUUUAUUUCUGACUCUACCUCCCACCCCCUCACAACCACAUCAAGUAUUUCAGAUCAAGCAUCUGUGAAUCAUAGGUCAAGCUGAUUCAUUUCUUAAAGUUUCCGGAUUAUGAAUGAAAAUGGUAUCGAUCACCUGGAUGAGGAUCAAAUACAGGGAGAGACAGCGCGACAGUCGAGACUUGCUCUGCAUUUACCUGCAACAAUGCCAACUAGAUUUCCAGCAUUUUAUUGAGACGAGGAGAGAGCUGCUGAAAAAUUAGCAGGGAGUGAGAGUCGUAAAUGAAAAUGAUCCAUCAUUCCUUUUUUUUUUUUUUUUUUACCAAUUUAAGAUGUGUAACAUGCUAAUAAUAUUCUCUCCAUUCACUGUGCUGCCUUCUUGUUUUAUUUUGGUUAUUGUGUAAAAUGUUUAUAGUAGGCUUUUGGAAGCUCAGAACACAGAUUCAGAGCCUAUAAAAUGAUGCUUUCCAUAUCAGAAAGCGGAAUGGGAAGGUGAUGUGAGCUCAGCACCUACUGCAGUCUCAUUUCAUAUUAAAGACCCAGCGGGGUGGGAAGCAGAGGCUGGGAGGGGUGAGGUCACCUGCCCCGGCAGGUAGCUCACAGUGGCCUCAUUCCUCCACAGAUCGGCUCAACAGAUCAGCUUAGCUCAAGGGGUGCUCAGAAACAGAAGCUCACGGUAGAGAUGCAAAACAGUGUUGGGAGCAGGAAAGACAAAUUCCCAGAGACCUUUUGGGGCUGUGACUCCCACGCACUUUUCACACCCAUUCACCCCAACCUUUCACCUGCAGAACCAUGGUGUCUCCAGAUCAAUGUGUAAUGCCAAGACAAGGGACGAGAACUCUCACCCUACAUGGGAAAGCCUGAUGGGGACCCCAAGGGAAACCCACCAGUGUGUGAAUCAGAUCCUGUGACCCUUGUGGUCCUGCAUCUCAAAGCAGGGGACACGUGAUCAAAGCCUUGAAGCUUAGAGGGAAACUCAACCUAUGAAUCAUGGCAGCACAGAACCUUCUCUGAGCCUCCCUCAGAACCCACUGACACUUAGUGUGUCACCAGGGGCCAGAGCAGCUGCACAGUUCUCAUGUGAACCAAGACGAUUUAAUGAGUUUUGGUGGUCUCUUAGGAUGCCUCAUCAAUUCACGAGAUGAUCUAUCCGCAGGUGACAAGGUUCAGAAAUGCCAGAUGAAACAUUCACAAGCGAGUCUGGUUUUACCUUUUGGUUUUUUUUUUUUUUUACUGAAUACUUGGCUAAUUUGGAAUCAUCAUAUUAAUAGAUGGAAACCCAGAGAAGGUUAGUGACUUGUCUAAGAACACACAGCUAGAACUAGACAAACCUGAUGGUCAAACUCAGGAGUCCAUAAUCUCUCUCCCCAACACCCGAUUGCCUUGCUUAGGACAAAAAGACCACACAAAGCAAAGGAAAAAAUAUAAACAUUUUAAUUGGAUAAGAAAAGAAUAAGAGAGAAGUGUGAGAUCUAAAGGCAGUGCAUUCCUGGCCAAUCACAGACUCUUUGUGACAUGAACACAGUGAAGGGCUCUGGGCUGAAUCUCUAUUUUAAAAUUUUAAAAUUUAUCUUAAUUAAAAUAGAAUAAAAAUAUAAUUAAUUAAAAUACAUAUUUUUUUAAUUAAAGAUUGGCAUUUGAGCUAACAACUGUUGCCAAUUUAUUUUUUUCCCUGCUUUUUUUUUUCUCCCCAAAUCCCCCCAGGACAUAGUUGUCUAUUUUAGUUGUGGGUCCUUCUAGUUGUGGCAUGUGGGAUGCUGCCUCAACAUGGCCUAAUGAGCAGUGCCAUGUCCGCGCCCAGGAUCCAAACCCUGGGCCACCAAAGCAGAGCACAUGAACUUAACCACUUGGCGACGGGGCCGGCCCGUAAAAAAUAUUUUUAACGUGCCCUUUUCCCAUCCCGCCACAUAGCGGAGAGAGAGUUAAUAUAUUCUGUUUAUCCGUUCUGGUGGCACUGUGUCAGCCCUAUUAUUCAGGGUCUAACAGUUGAAAGAGGCUCAGUGAGUCCAUUGGACAGAUGAGAAAAAUAAGGUCCAGGGAUAGGAAAUGACCUGCCCGAGGAAAUCUAACAUCCCUCGCUCUCCAGACCUGUGGUAUUCCCAGUGCAGAGUGCACCUACUUCCCUAGCUUCUGCAGAGAAGGGAAUUCAGGUCCCUCUGGCAACCCUGAUUUCAUUUCUCAUGAUUCUGUCUACUGGUUUAGCAAAAUCCCCAGGGCAAUUGGCUGAUUCUGAUGAAAUGUAUUGUAGCUACCAAAAGAUAGCAGUGGACAGGGUUAGUUUGUCAACAUAUACAGGAGAAGGGAUCCUGAACUAUAAUGAGCAUGAAAACAGAUAAGGAAUUUAUUUAUUUGGUCCACAUAAAAGGUAUUAUAGCCACACAACGUAAUAAAACUAUGUAGCAGUUACAAAGAAUAAGGUAGCUGACAUGGAUAGCACUUGAUAUAUUGCUGAGUAGGAAAAGGCAAGUUGCAGAAUAAUCUCUUUAUCACAGGUCUACAAAAACAGUACUCUGUGUGUGUGUAUGUGUGUGUACAUAAAUGCAUUAGAGAGGUCUGCGAGGAUGUGCUCCAAAGUGAUAACCUAAGCAGAGAUGAUGGGGAAACAAGGAUUAUGGGCAGUGAUCAAAAAAGGACU